Long non-coding RNA from Vombatus ursinus (common wombat), 2459 nucleotides. RefSeq lists it as uncharacterized. The transcript has 4 exons. The record is from RefSeq and is a predicted model, not a curated record. Lineage: Eukaryota; Metazoa; Chordata; Mammalia; Diprotodontia; Vombatidae.
UUAAUAGUGAGGGGAAGCAGGCAAAGUCUCCUGAAGACAUUGACGUGAGCUGAGUGUUGGAGGGAACCAAGGGAUUCCAACAGGCAAAGGAGGGGAAGAAGAGUAUUCCAGAGAUUUGGACAAUCUGUGCAAAGGUAAGGAAACUGAGAUUCGUCAAUGUUACUCGACUUACUGAAGAUCACAAGACCAGGCUUGAUGAAGUAUCACAUUUUAGGAAGGACACUGGCAAACCCAAACACUCCCAGAGGAGGGCAACCAGGUGUUUGAUGGACUUCAAGGCCAUUGGAUGCGCUGCUUCAGAAAGACCUACCUCUCCCUUUGUCCAUUACUUUCCAUGACCAAGUUCCACUGUCAUUAUGACCUCAUUCGUAGCGCUGUGCUAAGAAGUCAUUUCUAGGAACACAUGGUGUUUAAAAGCUGGGACAACUUAGAGACCCUUCUGAAGGUCUUGGUGCUAAUGUGAAGGAAGGGGAGGGACAAACGGCUGAAAAUCAAGGUAAUUAAAAUCAGCAAGCUUUUAUUAUGUCCCUACUACACAGAAGGAACAAGGCUAGGUACUGGAAAUGCCAAGAAGAAAAUAAAAUGGUCACUAUCCUCAAGAACACUCUGGGAGAAGACCAUAGUGAGCCGAUGAAUAUAAAAUGUAAAUAAAAUAAAUGUUGCAAAAUUGAAGAGUGGGGCAGAAGAACUUCCAACAAGAGAGUUAUCAAAGGUCUCAAAGGAGGUGGCUCGUGAGCUGUACCUUGCAGGAAGCUUUUCUCAUCUUGUGUGACCAUGGGCAAAGCAUUUAACCUCAGUUUCCUCAUCAGUAAAAUGGGGAUCAUAAAACCUGUUGAAUCCUCUUCAACAAAGCUGUUGUGAAGGUUAAAUAAGAAAAUGUAUGUGAAUAACUUUGUAAACCCUACCAUGAUAGUAACGAGGAUAAUUUUAAGCAAUGUUACAUAGUAGAAAGAAUAAUGAACCAGGCCUGGGUUUAAAUCUCAGCUCUGCUAAUUCUAAGCUCUGUAACAUUGAGCAAUUGUUAUCUUAAGCAAUGUGGUAUAGCAGAAAGAGUGGAGAAUCAGAAAAGUCUUGAGUUCAAAUCUCAGCUCUGCUCCUUAUGAACUCUGUGGAUAAGACACACCAUCUUUCUAAGCCUCAGUUUCCUUAUUUGUAAAAUGAGGGAAAUGAAAUAGAUGCCCUCUGAGGUCCUUUCUAGCUCUUCUUAAUCCUUAUUAUCAAGCAGAACAAGAAACUAUUUUCCUGGUGAAAGCCCAAACCACUGGAGUUAUCUGCCAUGCCAUGAGAAGGAAAUUGUGAGGUCUCGAUGACAUCUUGGAAAGAAGGGGAAAGAUCUGGCUUAUUCCUAAGAGGACAAAGGAGGAGGAGGGGGUCCGAUGAACACAUUAAUGUCCUUCAUGAGCAACUUUCAAAAGGGAGUCAGUGAGAGAGCCAAAGACAAGUUUAGAAAGACCACAAACAAAAGCUUGGAUUGUUGGGAAAUGGAACCUUUUUUAGAAGCCUUCAAAGCCACUCUUUGAAAAACCCUGGCAUGGACACAGUAUCGAGCCUGGGGAAAGGCCAAGCCUGGCCUGAAUUCAUAAUUGCCAAACUGUUUGUUGCCUUUAUUUGCCAAGACUUACUAAUUGAACUUUUGUAGGUCUGGCUUGCCCAUAGGAGAAUUGGAGCUAUUGUUUGGCCCAUAGUGUGCAUGAGUGGUUUCUUCCACCUGAGGCAGAAAGUCAAAACUAAAGAUCUGAUUAACUCAAUUCUAUUCCGUAUUGGUUAAGUAACUGGUAUGUGCCAGGCACUGUGCUGGGGCUACAAAGACAAAAACCCCAAAAUAUUCAUUAGAUCAAAAAUUUAGAAAUGGAGGCAAUUGUGGAGAUCAACCAGUCCAAUACUACCAUUUUACAGAUGAGGAAACAGGUGCAGAAAAGUUAAAUCAGGGCUUCGGGUUUUCAUAGACCCCUUUUGGCAGUCUGGUGAAGCCUGUGGACCCCUUCUUAGAAUAAUGUUUUUAAAUGCAUAAAAUAGUAGAGGUGGGAGAUGACACGUGGCAUUUGGGAAACAACCAGUGGGCCAGUUUGUCUGGAACAAGAGUGCAUGAGGGGCUGCAAUAUGAAAUUAGUCCAGAGAGAUAGAUACAAGGCAGCUGGUAGGGCAAAUCCAUCUUCAUUUCCCGGUUUCUUUUAUGGCCCCCACCAAUGCCCAAAUCAAUUGGGUUGAUAUUAUAGCUAAGUCCAUACACAGAGUAAAGAAGAAUGGUUUUUCUUUGUGGCCAUGUAGAGGGCAAAUUAGGGAAUGCCUGAACACAUUAUAAUGUGUGAAUGCAAUGGAAUAUUAUUGACAAAAGGGAUAAUUUCAAAGAAACCUGGGAAGACUUAUAUGAACUAAAUAGAGGGAAGAGGGCAAAACCAGGACAACAAUUCAUAAAAAGACAGCAACAGAUUGGAGAAUGGCUGAAUACACAGUGUAUA